UACGUAGGGGGCUAGCGUUGUCCGGAAUCAUUGGGCGUAAAGCGCGUGUAGGCGGUCCGGUAAGUCCGCUGUGAAAGCCAGGGGCUCAACCCUUGGAUGCCGGUGGAUACUGUCGGGCUUGAGUACGGAAGAGGCGAGUGGAAUUCCUGGUGUGGCGGUGAAAUGCGCAGAUAUCAGGAGGAACACCAAUUGCGAAGGCAGCUCGCUGGGACGUUACUGACGCUGAGACGCGAAAGCGUGGGGAGCAAACAGG
RNAcentral lists this ribosomal RNA (253 nucleotides) under uncultured bacterium. Its description in RNAcentral is "partial 16S ribosomal RNA". It matches the Rfam family "Bacterial small subunit ribosomal RNA", at positions 524 to 776 of the family's 1533-position model. The record is from RNAcentral.